Long non-coding RNA from Herpailurus yagouaroundi (jaguarundi), 3595 nucleotides. RefSeq lists it as uncharacterized. Lineage: Eukaryota; Metazoa; Chordata; Mammalia; Carnivora; Felidae. The transcript is spliced from 4 exons. The record is from RefSeq and is a predicted model, not a curated record.
UAGAUAGAAUUGUGAGAAAGUCAGAGUCAAAACUAAAUUUCAGGUCUAAUUAGCAAUCUAGACUGAAACAUGGGAGAAACAUUUUGCUUUGUCCUUCACUAAAGUGGAUUAUAUAGACUAUUUAAAUUGCUCUUUUCUCCUCUGAGGAAAUGCUGGUCUCCUCAGGCCACCCUAAUAGUAUAGGUGAGAAAACACCUUGAGCAUUCAGGCAGCAGGGUUUACACUCAUACAGAGUUAUUUCCUUCCCAACCAAGUGAUAGGAACUCUGGUGAUAGGCUUUUACACAAUGGAAGUUCUACUGGGAGAGGAGGAAAAAUAAGGAUUUCAGUUGCCACAGAAGAUAGUAAUGCCUCAUAUCCCCACUCUCAGCUUCUGAGCCAUGUCAGUGAAAGGCAUGUUGGUGGAACUGAAAACUUUCCACAUUAGGGCUACCAUACUUAGACUCAAGAAAGAAGUGACCCAGGAUUGACUACAUCUGAAGGGAAAAGAUCUGGCAACUUCUCCGACCACAGCGUGAUGUCAUCAGGUGAGGCAAAUUUGAAAUUUAAUGUUAAAAGCUUUGGUAUAGACUAUUACUCAAAAGGACAAGCCAACUGGCAAAUGGGCAAAGGAUCUGAAUAGACACAUCUCCAAAGAAGAUCAACAAAUGCACAAUAAGUAUGUGAAGAGAUGCUCAACAUCAUUAGUUAGUGGGGGAAAUGCCAAUGAAAACAGCAAUGGGAUACCAAUUCAAACCCACUAAGAUGGCUAGAAGCAAACACACAGGUAAUGACAAGUGUUGUAGAGAAUGUAGAGGGGUUAGAACUCUCUUACACUGCUGGCAGGAAUGCAAAAUGCUGCAGAAAAGACCUAGCAAUUCCUCCAAAAUUAAAAAACAGAGUGACCGUAUGACCCAGCGAUUCCACUUGUAGGUCUUCACAGCAAGAUUAUUCAUGAAAGCUCCAAGGUGGAAACAACCUAAUUAUCCAUCAACUAAUGAGCGAGUAAAAAUAAUGUGGUCUGUCUACACAAUGGAGUAUUACUCAACAAGAAAAAGAAAUGAAAUUCUGACACACACUAACUGAAGGAGGGCAGAACACGUCACGUUGGUAUGCUGAUAAUUUUGAGUGAUAGGCACUCGAAAAACAGCAAAUGCAGGCACAGCCUUUCUCUGAACCGCACCCCCUGCCCCCCGCCCCCCGCCAUCUGCCUAAAGACAGAUACUCUAAAAGGAGCUUGACUGUCACAGAUUCCCUCCCUGCGAGUGUCAUCAGCCAUAACCACAGGAGACGAGAGUACAAGUGGAUGUCACACCCUGACAAACUUUGUCACAAACUGUCAUACUUCCCAUCUGUUCUUCUAAGGGUCUAAUCAUCUUUCCUAAAAAUCAUCUGCUUGCUUCUCAGAGGCCUACAUUCCCCACCUCUUCCCCUACUAAGAUGGUAUGUAAGCAUGCAUUUAAGCUGCCUUAGGGAAUAACUAAUUGUUCCCUGGGUGUCUCUCAUGUAGACAUGAAGUAUACAUGUUAGUAAGUUUUAUUUCUCUUAUUUAUCUUUCUUCUAGUCCAUGGUCUCAGCCAAGAACUCUAAAAGGUAGAGGAAAAAUUAUCUUUCCUCCCCUACACUUCAACAAUCGUUGAACCAUGGAAACAUUAUGCUGAAUGAAAGAAGCCAGACACAGAAGUUCAUAUAUGGUCGAGAGCAUCAGACUGGGAUGUGGAUAACACAAGUUCAUUAGUAUCUUGAUUCGGCCACUUUCUAGCCAAGGCAGACAAGAGCAGUGAGCGGUUUAAGGCAAAAGAGAUAACAAGAGUUCAACAGCAGCAACUGCUGUUAUGUCCAAGGGCCAGCCCUGAUUCAUCACAAUGGGAUGAACCAGACUGAACGACGACGAGGCUGGAACAAGAUCUAGCCCACUGGACCAGAGCAGGGAGCUGGAAAUGACAGAAGCUGUACAAAUCCACCCAAAGGGAGGAGGCCCAUUCCAACGCAGAAGAACAUGGCACCCAGAAAGAAUGGAAAUGGUAGAUGGAAGCUAGGCAAUCAUCAAAAGCACCAGAUUAGAACCAGUAUAAUGAUGGAUUCCUACACAAACAGUGGGAUUCUACUUCUUGAAUAACCUCUACAGAAAUCAGGAUUACAGUUUCUUAAACCUGAACACGUGAUCCAAGGUAAGACAAAAGAACUUUUUAUCUUGAUUUGCAAAUUUAAUUACUCGAAAUGACUUUGAACACUUUACAAAAUGGAUUAUAUUUAUACAUUGAACAAAUCCACUUAACUAAAAAGAUAAAAAUAAUAUGAAAUGAUUGCUCAAGAAAAUAUGAAGUAGGAGGUCCCCAUAUCAUAGAUGCUGGUUACAAGUUUCUAAAUUAGAAUAUGGAGUCAUGACUUCUGGAAAGUUAGGUUUAAUCAUCUAUGUGGUUGGCCCUAGAAAAUGUCUUAAGUUGGUGAAAUGUAACUUCUCUCCCCCUUUUUUAGCAUCAGCGGGGUGCUCCUCUUUGGAACUCCCACUAGUUGCAUAUCCAAAGAUAUGACCCUAAAAUAUAUCUCUCUUCAAAUUCAAAGUAUGCUGCAACUCUUUGAAAGUGGCCAGAUUGAAGUAACCUUAAGGUUUACGAAGCAGACCUCCUUGAUUGCCAUAUCACUGGAAGGACUUCUCUUUCUAUAAUUCAAGCUAUCCAAAAGAACUACUGUAAAUGUUUUAUGCACCGCGAGUACCUACAGCCAAGGAAGAAGAAGAGAACAUAGAGGGUGAAAGGAGGGGCAGGAACAAGAAAGGACAGUCGUAGUGUCUAGCUUAUAGAAAGAACCCAAGGUAUGCCUUUAUCCAGUGAGUAUUGAAGCACUUUCCUAAAUUGAUCUCUGGGGCCUCUCGCUUUCUAGGUCUAGACCUCUCUCCCUGGUCAAGGUUCCAAAGGCCCACCUCCUCCUCCUUGCAAGAAUAGAUCUAAAUAUCAUUUACACACACAUGACAGGCAACUAGUUAAAUCUCUCCUGGGAAUCAGUAGGCACUCAAUAGGGAGUGAAAUUGAAGUCAAGUGAAUACUGUGAAUGUUAGUUGUUCAGGUACCACUGGGCAGGAAGGAAGGCAUGGGAAAGAGAUCUUAACACUUUGUUUCAGAGAGCAUGGCAGUUUGUCUGGGAAUGCAACUGGAACCCUUUUAUUUUUAAUUAAAUUAAUUAAUUAAUUAAUUAGUUUGUUUUUUAAUCCUGGGGUUCGGGUUACUAUAGUUGGAAGUAAAAUUAAACAGAGGGUAACAGUUUUCUCUUUGGCACAUUAAUCAAUUGCUCUGCUUAGGAGGUCCCUUAAACAGAAAAGAGUGAACAAAUUUGGGCACCAGAGGAAUCCUCUGGGCCUUAGCAAUCACCUCCUCUUACCUGAUGGAAAGCAAACAAAAACUGAGCCGGGGGGCAAUGAUGGUCUUUUUCCCCUUCUCUUCUCAUAUGCCCAUUUAGGCUCAAAUGUUCUUUAAAGAAUUCAGAACUCUGUGCACUACAUGAAGGCUUACUUUUGAGGGGAAAAGAAUCAGAGAAUGUCAAAUUUAGAUUUUUUCUAAAUGUUUAUUCAUUUUUGAAAGACAGAGAGAGACAGAGCACAAGCGGGGGUGGGGCGGAGA